AAUGAACGUUGGCGGCAUGGAUUAGGCAUGCAAGUCGAGCGAGAAGGGUUUUGAAGCUUGCUUUAGAACCCGGAAAGCGGCGCAAGGGAGAGUAACGAGUAGUUAUCUACCCCAAGGCCCGGAAUAGCUGCGGGAAACUGCAGGUAAUGCCGGAUAAUAUCCCCGGAUCAAAGGUGUGAUUCCGCCUUGGGAGGAGACUGCUUUGUACUAGCUUGUUGGUGGGGUAAUGGCCUACCAAGGCUACGAUGCAUAGCGGGCGUGAGAGCGUGGCCCGUCUCACUGGGACUGAAACACUGCCCAGACACCUACGGGAGGCUG
Molecule: ribosomal RNA, 318 nt
Filed under: uncultured Planctomycetota bacterium
Lineage: Bacteria; Pseudomonadati; Planctomycetota
Description: bacterial SSU rRNA
Rfam family: Bacterial small subunit ribosomal RNA
Source: RNAcentral